UACAGAGGGGGCAAGCGUUAUUCGGAAUUAUUGGGCGUAAAGGGCGCGUAGGCGGCCGUGCAAGUGGGAGGUGAAAUCCCUCGGCUCAACCGAGGAACUGCCUUUCAAACUGCAUGGCUUGAGUCCGGGAGAGGUGAGUGGAAUUCCCAGUGUAGCGGUGAAAUGCGUAGAUAUUGGGAGGAACACCAGUGGCGAAGGCGGCUCACUGGACCGGAACUGACGCUGAGGCACGAAAGCGUGGGGAGCAAACGGG
Molecule: ribosomal RNA, 253 nt
Filed under: uncultured bacterium
Lineage: Bacteria
Description: partial 16S ribosomal RNA
Rfam family: Bacterial small subunit ribosomal RNA
Source: RNAcentral